Molecule: ribosomal RNA, 433 nt
Filed under: uncultured bacterium
Lineage: Bacteria
Description: partial 16S ribosomal RNA
Rfam family: Bacterial small subunit ribosomal RNA
Source: RNAcentral
AACGAACGCUGGCGGCAUGCCUAACACAUGCAAGUCGAACGAGACCUUUGGGUCUAGUGGCGCACGGGUGCGUAACGCGUGGGAAUCUGCCCUUGGGUUCGGAAUAACAGUGAGAAAUUGCUGCUAAUACCGGAUGAUGUCUUCGGACCAAAGAUUUAUCGCCCAGGGAUGGGCCCGCGUAGGAUUAGCUAGUUGGUGGGGUAAUGGCCUACCAAGGCGACGAUCCUUAGCUGGUCUGAGAGGAUGAUCAGCCACACUGGGACUGAGACACGGCCCAGACUCCUACGGGAGGCAGCAGUGGGGAAUAUUGGACAAUGGGCGCAAGCCUGAUCCAGCAAUGCCGCGUGAGUGAUGAAGGCCUUAGGGUUGUAAAGCUCUUUUACCAGGGAUGAUAAUGACAGUACCUGGAGAAUAAGCUCCGGCUAACUCCGUG